RNAcentral lists this small RNA (673 nucleotides) under Histoplasma ohiense. RNAcentral's name for it is "hypothetical lncRNA". The record is from RNAcentral. Lineage: Eukaryota; Fungi; Ascomycota; Eurotiomycetes; Onygenales; Ajellomycetaceae.
UCACAUCCCCCUUUUCCGCGCGUUUCUUUUCAUCAUCCCUUCGACUCUGCUCAAGCAACCUUACCCGCUCAUCCUUCUGCUUCCUCUGCGUCUUCACAAACGCGCCAAGCGGCGUCGUUUCCCACUCCACAUCUUUCAAGAACACCUCAACCUCCGCGCGAUCCUUGGGUGCAAAAGUCACUUUUGACCGCCGCUCUUCAAUCCACCGACUAUUCGCCUCCAGCUUCUGCACAACUAGCACGAUCAUCUGGUUGACUUUUGUAUUUUUGUUUCCAGACGUGCGGGAGGACAUCUCUUUCAGCCAACGCUUGAGCAUGACGAUUACAGGAAGCGAGAGUUCGGGGAAGGCAAUGUUUUUGGCCCAUAGGAUAAAGAAUUCCGAGAGCAGUUCUGCAACUUCAGCACCCACUCCAUCCUGGUAGACGCGGGUUCGUAGGUAAGAUUUGGGGGCACGAAUGCUUGUAGCGAAAUCGAGGGGCCGGAGGGUGGUGGAUUUUGGAGGUUUUCUCAUUUCGGCGGAGUUGAGGACCUCAACGAGUGCGGCUCCGAGUGGGAUGUAGGUUCCUGUCGUAAGAGAGAUACGGAGGAGGGAUCUCGUGAGCUGGAAACGUAACGGGAAGUAUUGUGCUGUGGGGAUCAGACGCAUCGCUCCGAGGGUGAUUUGGACUACGGG